Molecule: ribosomal RNA, 225 nt
Filed under: Triticum aestivum (bread wheat)
Lineage: Eukaryota; Viridiplantae; Streptophyta; Magnoliopsida; Poales; Poaceae
Description: partial small subunit ribosomal RNA
Source: RNAcentral
AUGAGUCUCCUAUGCUGGAACUGUCGUGGGGCUGGCAAACCAGCGACAGUGAAGGAGCUUCAUGACAUGACGAGGCAAUAUGCCCCUUCUAUUCUUUGUAUCCUGGAAACUCAGAUAGAAGGCUUACGUGUUGAGAAUUUAUCCAGUACUUUAGGUUUCAAUAAAAGUUUUGCUGUUAGUAGUAGAGGUAGAAGUGGUGGUUUGGGAAUUUUUUGGAAUGAUUCA